UACGGAAGGCAGCAGUGGGGAAUAUUGCACAAUGGGCGAAAGCCUGAUGCAGCUAUGCCGCGUGUAUGAAGAAGGCCUUAGGGUUGUAAAGUACUUUCAUCGGGGAGGAAAAACAAAACUAAUAAUUUUAUUUCUUGACGUUACCCGAAAAAGAAGCACCGGCUAACUCCGUGCCAGCAGCCGCGGUAAUACGGAGGGUGCUAGCGUUAAUCAGAAUUACUGGGCGUAAAGAGCACGUAGGUGGUUUUUUUAAGUCAGAUGUGAAAUCCCUGGGCUUAACCUAGGAACUGCAUUUUGAAACUGAAAUACUAGAGUAUCGUAGAGGGAGGUAGAAUUCUAGGUGUAGCGGUGAAAUGCGUAGAUAUCUGGAGGAAUACCUGUGGCGAAAGCGGCCUCCUAAACGAAUACCGUGAACUCGUAGGUAGGUCGAA
This 431-nucleotide ribosomal RNA is filed under the name uncultured bacterium. RNAcentral describes it as "bacterial SSU rRNA". It matches the Rfam family "Bacterial small subunit ribosomal RNA", at positions 340 to 757 of the family's 1533-position model. The record is from RNAcentral.